UCCUCAAGACAGCGGGCAAGGCGCACAUGACCCCGGGAAUGAGCCACAGACAAGGGUAGACGGCCCAGAGAGUCAGGAAUGCUCAGCGCCUGUCGGUUCCAACGGAAAAGGAGCACAGCAGCUUCCAGGUGUCCCAGGGCACAAGCCCACAUCUGGGGAGAGGGGCACAGAGGUUCCCACCACUUUGACCUCUGAUGGCCCAUCACUUCUCCCAGUUUGAGUUCCUGUGUGGCCUCAGUGUCCCCUACUCCCACUGCCAACUUCCUCCAGUCCAUCUGGAGGACCAGACCUCUCACACCCUUGCCUGUUAUGUGCCUUCACAUCAGCUCAGGUGGACCCUCCCCUUGUUCCUCACUGUGGACCUCCCUCCUCAUGGAAGUACCUGAACUGGAGGAGUGUCAGGACCCUGGCAAGGUGUCUGUCCAGCUGCUGCAAUCUCUGCCAUCCGCUUCUCCAUCUGCUCCAGUCGCUCCAGUAUGGACAUCCGGAACUGGUUGUCUGAGGGGGAAUGGGUAUGGGAGCUGAGUGGGCAGGGUCUAGGUGAUGCCCUCAACACCAAAACUGGACCUGUCCCAGGAUCUGGGGGGUGAAGACACAGAAUCACUCUUUUCUCUUCCCCCAAACAGCAGCCCCUUUACCCACUCACCUUCUCAGUAAAGCCCGCCAGGACUCAGUCCUUAAUUUAGAGCUUUUAAUACUACCCAAGACCUAGAACCAGUAUCCAGAACCAAGAUUGUUUCCUUCAAGACACAGACAGUAGGAAUUCCCAGACAGCCAUCUAGCCCCCAGCUGGCCCAAAUCACACAUGUACACACCCUCCCCCCGCUUUUUUCUAGGUGAAUGUUCUAUCAGUUCUCGCCCCAGAUACUACCUUUGUCCCCCAUGCUGGGGCUGAAGGACACCAGGGUCCCUUCUUUCUGUUAACCAGUACCCAAAAGAGCUCAGGGACUGUGACCUGAAAGCACCACCCCCUCCUCCCAGCCCCCCGCAGCUGUCCAUAAAGAGGAUGGCGGGGGAGGGAAGGUGACAGAGAUGAAUAGCCAUGUCCAUUCCUCCUUCCUCCCACCCCAUACACAAAUACACAUACGCGCACACACGCACGCACGCACACACACACACACACACACACACCCCAAGCUAUAUCUGUCCCCUCCUGAGAUCAAACAAGGACAAGGAAGGGAAACAGGAGGGGCUCAGAGCCCUGGAAAAACAGGCACAGAGAAACUGAGUGAAGGUCGGGGGUGUUCUGAGAUGCCAGGAUAGAAGGGGAUGAAGGAAGAGAGGUGACAGUGGGGGAGGGAGGCAGAGAACGCUGAGCAGAAACCCAGAUAUAACAGAGAAGAGAGAGAACAGAAAAGAUAAACAAGGUGAAGGAGAUGAGAGAAAAGACAAAAGAGCAGGGGGGAGUACCAAACCAACAAUAAGAAAGGCAGACAAGAAGAGAGGCAAGUUAAGAAGAAAUGGCAAGAAGAGGGAGGGAGGAAACUCAUACAAGAGAUGGUAAAACAAAAAUUACACAGGGACAGAAAAAUGAGAUGAACAAUCAGAGCAGGACAAAGAACAGGACCGAGAGACCGGGCAAGAGCCCAAGGCAGGCAGACUCGAAGCAGACAGGCAACCCAGCACACAGGCUUUGUGACUGGGGCCAGCUCCAAGAGUGGCAAAAGGAGGGACCAGAGCCCCUAGGGGAGAGAAACUGGCAUGGAGGGACAAACUUGAUAGGGAUGACAGCAGAACGGACAUCCGAGAGGCGACAAUAGAGACACCAAGAGGAUGACAAAGGAAAGCAAACAUCAAGAAAGCAGCAGAUUUCUCAAAGCCACAGGAGAGAGAACAAAUACAAGGAACAAAAAUAGUCCCAGAUUUAAAUAAAUAAAUACACCCCUCCACACACAUAUACAUGUAUGUGUGUGCCUCUGUGUUUUUGUGUAAGAAAGUACACCAUGAUAUGAGCAGUGGAUAUCACUGGGUAGUAACAGUAUAGGAAAUUUUCAUUUUCUACUUUGUGUUUUUCUGUAAUUUCCAACUUUUCUAUAAUAA
This is a long non-coding RNA of Cynocephalus volans (Philippine flying lemur), 2040 nucleotides long. RefSeq lists it as uncharacterized. The transcript is spliced from 3 exons. NCBI's taxonomy places the organism in Eukaryota, Metazoa, Chordata, Mammalia, Dermoptera, Cynocephalidae. The record is from RefSeq and is a predicted model, not a curated record.